This 433-nucleotide ribosomal RNA is filed under the name uncultured Acidobacterium sp. RNAcentral's name for it is "bacterial SSU rRNA". It matches the Rfam family "Bacterial small subunit ribosomal RNA", at positions 958 to 1385 of the family's 1533-position model. The record is from RNAcentral. Lineage: Bacteria; Pseudomonadati; Acidobacteriota; Terriglobia; Terriglobales; Acidobacteriaceae.
AACGCGAAGAACCUUACCUGGGCUCGAACGGCUUCAGACAGUCGUGGAAACACGAUCUUCCCCUUAAAAGGACUGGAGUCGAGGUGCUGCAUGGCUGUCGUCAGCUCGUGUCGUGAGAUGUUGGGUUAAGUCCCGCAACGAGCGCAACCCUUGUCCUGUGUUGCCACUCCCCUUAAAAGGAAGCACUCUCAGGAGACCGCCAGCGAUAAGCUGGAGGAAGGUGGGGAUGAUGUCAAGUCAUCAUGGCCUUUAUGUCCAGGGCUACACACGUGCUACAAUGGGCGGUACAAAGCGCUGCAAACCCGCGAGGGGGAGCUAAUCGCAAAAAACCGUUCUCAGUUCGGAUCGCAGGCUGCAACUCGCCUGCGUGAAGCUGGAAUCGCUAGUAAUGGCGUAUCAGAAUGAUGCCGUGAAUACGUUCCCGGGCCUUGUA